UACAGAGACUGCAAGCGUUAUUCGGAUUCACUGGGCGUAAAGGAUGCGUAGAUGGUUCAGUAAGUUACUGGUGGGAAAUCGAGGCCCAACCUCGUGGAAGUUAGUAAUACUGUUGAACUUGAGUGCAGGAGAGGUUAACGGAACUUCAUGUGGAGCGGUAAAAUGCGUAGAUAUAUGAAAGAACAUCAAUAUGGCGAAGGCAGUUAACUAUUCUGCUACUGACAUUGAGGCAUGAAAGCGUGGGGAGCAAAACGG
RNAcentral lists this ribosomal RNA (255 nucleotides) under uncultured bacterium. RNAcentral's name for it is "partial 16S ribosomal RNA". It matches the Rfam family "Bacterial small subunit ribosomal RNA", at positions 524 to 776 of the family's 1533-position model. The record is from RNAcentral.